RNAcentral lists this ribosomal RNA (1372 nucleotides) under uncultured bacterium. RNAcentral's name for it is "bacterial SSU rRNA". It matches the Rfam family "Bacterial small subunit ribosomal RNA", at positions 28 to 1381 of the family's 1533-position model. The record is from RNAcentral.
GAUGAACGCUGGCGGCGUGCCUAAUACAUGCAAGUCGAGCGAACGGACGAGAAGCUUGCUUCUCUGAUGUUAGCGGCGGACGGGUGAGUAACACGUGGAUAACCUACCUAUAAGACUGGGAUAACUUCGGGAAACCGGAGCUAAUACCGGAUAAUAUUUUGAACCGCAUGGUUCAAAAGUGAAAGACGGUCUUGCUGUCACUUAUAGAUGGAUCCGCGCUGCAUUAGCUAGUUGGUAAGGUAACGGCUUACCAAGGCAACGAUGCAUAGCCGACCUGAGAGGGUGAUCGGCCACACUGGAACUGAGACACGGUCCAGACUCCUACGGGAGGCAGCAGUAGGGAAUCUUCCGCAAUGGGCGAAAGCCUGACGGAGCAACGCCGCGUGAGUGAUGAAGGUCUUCGGAUCGUAAAACUCUGUUAUUAGGGAAGAACAUAUGUGUAAGUAACUGUGCACAUCUUGACGGUACCUAAUCAGAAAGCCACGGCUAACUACGUGCCAGCAGCCGCGGUAAUACGUAGGUGGCAAGCGUUAUCCGGAAUUAUUGGGCGUAAAGCGCGCGUAGGCGGUUUUUUAAGUCUGAUGUGAAAGCCCACGGCUCAACCGUGGAGGGUCAUUGGAAACUGGAAAACUUGAGUGCAGAAGAGGAAAGUGGAAUUCCAUGUGUAGCGGUGAAAUGCGCAGAGAUAUGGAGGAACACCAGUGGCGAAGGCGACUUUCUGGUCUGUAACUGACGCUGAUGUGCGAAAGCGUGGGGAUCAAACAGGAUUAGAUACCCUGGUAGUCCACGCCGUAAACGAUGAGUGCUAAGUGUUAGGGGGUUUCCGCCCCUUAGUGCUGCAGCUAACGCAUUAGGCACUCCGCCUGGGGAGUACGACCGCAAGGUUGAAACUCAAAGGAAUUGACGGGGACCCGCACAAGCGGUGGAGCAUGUGGUUUAAUUCGAAGCAACGCGAAGAACCUUACCAAAUCUUGACAUCCUUUGACAACUCUAGAGAUAGAGCCUUCCCCUUCGGGGGACAAAGUGACAGGUGGUGCAUGGUUGUCGUCAGCUCGUGUCGUGAGAUGUUGGGUUAAGUCCCGCAACGAGCGCAACCCUUAAGCUUAGUUGCCAUCAUUAAGUUGGGCACUCUAAGUUGACUGCCGGUGACAAACCGGAGGAAGGUGGGGAUGACGUCAAAUCACCAUGCCCCUUAUGAUUUGGGCUACACACGUGCUACAAUGGACAAUACAAAGGGCAGCGAAACCGCGAGGUCAAGCAAAUCCCAUAAAGUUGUUCUCAGUUCGGAUUGUAGUCUGCAACUCGACUACAUGAAGCUGGAAUCGCUAGUAAUCGUAGAUCAGCAUGCUACGGUGAAUACGUUCCCGGGUCU